Long non-coding RNA from Carassius auratus (goldfish), 811 nucleotides. RefSeq lists it as uncharacterized. The transcript has 3 exons. Lineage: Eukaryota; Metazoa; Chordata; Actinopteri; Cypriniformes; Cyprinidae. The record is from RefSeq and is a predicted model, not a curated record.
AGAGGUAGUGAAUGGAGGAAUGGCAGAGGAAUGGCAGGGCGGAUAUAUGGCCAAUUUCAGCACAAUUACACUUAGGAUGACGUUGGGAAACAAAGGCGUGUUAAUGAUUUUCGGAGGCCACAGUCGAGCUGAAGAGCACUUCAAACUCAAGAGCAGGAAACACGCUGGGCUCCACGGGGUUCCCACAGGCAUCGCCUCCAUCCCAUUAUAGCCCCUUGCUCUCACUACGACAGAGGUUAAUGAUUCUACACCUGGCCUUGGAUGAGCGAGUGAUAUUUUACCCCUUGCAGGAAGAGGGUGAUAUAUGGAGACUGCAGUUGUUUUCGGGGUGUAUAAAUUAAAGGAAUAGCUUGUAUUGGCGGGCAGGAUGAUGAAAUAACAGGCACUUUAGGUAAUUCCUCUGAUAAAGCAGCCUGACCCCUGAGCAGGUCUAAGAAUGAUAGAAUCAAAUGUUCUGGUAGAGGUCAGCCGUUGGAGCAUCAGUCUAGUCAAGCCAUUACAACAGAAUACAAAGACCCUGCACCUGUCAAGAGAACAGGCCAGGUGGGUGAGAGAAAAAAAAGAGUCUAAGGUAUCUUUCUCUUUUCAAACCAAAUUAGAUUCAUUUUACCUUUGCAAAGAGUCAGGGUAGGGUCGACCUGUGGGUUUGUUGGGCUCAAAGGAUGUGUGGAGCAACUUCUGUGUGGGAAACUGCAUAUCAGUACACAUAUAUUAUCUUUAGAUAAGUUUAAAAAAUCAUAUUCACUAAAUAUGAAAUUCAAUUAAUUGAUUUGUAUUUCUGGAUAAGUUCACUGAUUGCAACUGUGUGCUA